GAAGCCUAUCAGGAGAGCACCGCGAACUCGGAGGCCGCUAAAGGGUAAGGUAGCCUGUGCGGUCCUCGUCGGGAGCAGCUUGAGCCGCUGAGUUUCGGGAGGACGCUGGGCGCCUGCUUAGCGGGGUGUCCAUGCGGGUUGGAGAGUUCAGGCACGUUUACAUCGGCCGUGCUACACGCCUUGCGCAUGAACGAGACCCUUUGUAAAGGAGUCCCCACGGGGGUGAUGGAGAGCGUCAGAGUGGAAGAUGCUGCUCCAAUAGCUGUUUGUAGUCACCAUCUUGGGAAGGAGCAAACCAUUCAAGAGCUGUUUUCUUUUCAUCAGGAAGUGCAUUUCUCACUGGUGUGAAGGAGAAUAAUCAACAGAUCAAGACCAGAAGUUUUGAGAUGAUUUCUCAGGGAAGAGACUGCCCCGGGUGCUUGGGGCCUGAUCUGUCCGGCUUCUUGAUGCUCCAGGCUCUCUGCCGAAUUUUGCCCCUGUGCUCCAAUGAGACUAUUACUUUUAGCUCUGUUGACUCCUAAACUGUAGGCAAACCAACAAGCAAGAGACAAAGUAUCUUGCAGAUGGUCAGUCAAGCUCUAGUAUGCAGAUGGUCACACAGCCCUUAGGAAGAGGCCUCCUUACACCAAGAGGAAGAAUGAUAUGGUAUCUUGGGUAGAAAGUAUUUACAGAAGAUGAAAUCAAGCUAAAAGCCCAGGGAUUCCAGGCUGCCAGCUCCAGUAGCAGCCAGAGCUGCAGACCUUCUUCAUCUCCUGCCACUCUCCUCCAUCAUUCACCAGGCUCCAGCUAAGACAGCUUCUUAUUCCUCAACCAGCUGCUGCUCUCUGCCUCAAAUCUGCAACUGUUCACUUCAUUGAAGUCGCAGCUUAAAUGUUACCUCAUUAGAGAAACUUCCUCUGAGAAUUCAAUCUAAACUGCCACCAAAACAUCCCCACCACAGCCACUCUCUCACCUUUCACUUGGCUUCAGUUUUCUUCAUGUCACUUAGUUUCAUUGGAAGUUUUAUAAAAAUGUACCUGAGUUUACUUGUCCAUUAUCCCCCAUCUCUGUGCUAAUGGGAGCACGAUGGGAGCCAAAACCUUGUCUUGUUAACAGUGAAGCUUGACAUCUAGAACACUGCUGUAUACAGUUGGCUUUCAAGAAAGAAUCAUGUCAUCCAUGAACAAAUCACUUGCCGCCCUCUUCACCUUUGUAGGUGGUCGUGAGGCUGCUUUCCACCCCUGAGGAGGGCUACCUGUACACCACUGUUGCCCCCCCUUGUCAUCACGAUCACUGCCCAACAGCACAUGCCUCUCACUUAUCUCAACUUACUUUUAUUUGUGUCUAGUUCAUUUCCUUCAACCUGUCCUCUGGGAAUCCCCUUAGAACCUCAGCCUUUUUCUGGGUGUUUCACUUAUGCCCUUCUUUUUUUUGCCAGCUGUAUUGAAGUAUGAUUGACAAAAUUUGCAUUUAGGUUGCAUAAGUGAUGACAGUGUAUUUUUUGAGUUAUGGUGAGAACAUUUAAGAUCUACUCCUAGCAAAUUUAAAGUAUACAGUAUAGUAUUACUAACUGUACUCAACUUGCUAUACAUCAGAUCACAAGAACCUAUUCAUCUUAUAACUGAAAGUUUGUGUCCUUUGACCAAAUUUCCCCAUUUCCCCUGCCCCCCAGCUCCUGGAAACCACCAUUCUACUCUCUGGUUAUAUGAGUUCAGCUUUUUUAGGUUCCAUGUAUAAAUGAGAUCAUACAGUAUCUUUCUGUGUCUGGCUUAUUUCACUUAGCAUAGGUUCCUUCAGGCUCAGCCAUGUUGUUACAAAUGGCACGAUUUCCUUCCCUUGCCUCCUUACCAUAACCAAAACCUGUUCUUUACCAUCUGGGCCCAGUCCCUGAACCUCAGUGUCUGUAACUAGUGUCCAGGGGCAGUAACCUGGAGAAUCCCACAGUGGCAUCUUUGUUGCUGCAGAAGCUCCUGUAGGGCCUAAGUCAUCCAUGACACAUAAUUCAGCACCCUGACUUUUCCUCCCUAAAACAAUGGAGGGGGUAAUCCUGUGUUAAAAUCUCUUACCAGCUCUGGAGCUUUGGCUAGCAUCUCAUGAUCCUGAGGUUACAAGCUUGAGAAGAGUCAAAACACCAAGAACAGUUGAGCAGAAAUUACAGACAGAUCCUGCAUCCUUGAUGACAUGAGUGAGCUGCCGAAUCACCUGAGAUCACUUUCCUUUGGAUUUCUUGUGGUGUAAAUGGAUGAGCAUUCUAUUACUUACAGAGGGAAGAAAUACUAACAGGGCUGUGGGAUUGAGCAAGGACUUUUUUAAUGAUGAAACGUCCUUUUACAAAUGGAAGAAACACAGCCUCCAAGAGCAGCCGUUCCCACCUUGCCAAAGCCUGCUGUGGACAUUGAGGGAGGCCUGUUCAGGUAGGCCCUUUCUAAUCAUAUGGAUCCUUAAAAGCAGAGAAUCUUUCCUACUUGUAGUCAGAGGAAGAUGUGACUAAAAAAGAAUGGUCAGAAAUAUGCAAUGCUGCUGGCUUUGAAGAUGGAUGAAGGGGGCCAUGAGCCAUGUGGGUGGCCUCAGCUGCAAAAGGCAAAGAGCAAGAUUCUUCCCUAGAGCCUCCAAAAAGGACCAUAGCCCUGCUAAUACCACUGAGAUUCAUGUUGGACAUCUAUCCUACUGAACCUUAAGGUAAUAAAAUUUGCAAUGUUUU
Long non-coding RNA from Manis javanica (Malayan pangolin), 2680 nucleotides. RefSeq lists it as uncharacterized. The record is from RefSeq and is a predicted model, not a curated record. Lineage: Eukaryota; Metazoa; Chordata; Mammalia; Pholidota; Manidae.